GAAUGGUAUAGUGUUUCCACUGUUGGUAU
Molecule: non-coding RNA, 29 nt
Filed under: Rattus norvegicus (Norway rat)
Lineage: Eukaryota; Metazoa; Chordata; Mammalia; Rodentia; Muridae
Source: RNAcentral